This 43881-nucleotide long non-coding RNA is filed under the name Linum usitatissimum (flax). Lineage: Eukaryota; Viridiplantae; Streptophyta; Magnoliopsida; Malpighiales; Linaceae. The record is from RNAcentral.
UGGAGGAAAGUUGGUUGGUCUCAACCAAUGCAUUACUUCAGGUACGAAUUCAGUAGUUUGGCCUUGGCUUUUUACUCAGUUUACUGCAGCAGUACUACCAGAAAUCGUGUGGUUUCAAUAAUGCAAGUGAAGUAGUAAGUAUUUAACUUACAGGAGAUGACAAAGUUAUGGAAUCAAUCAAAUGGGAGCCAAGCAAGGAAGAAGGAACAGCAGGAGAAAGUGCAGAUAAACAAACACCACAUCGCUGGUUUGUGAAAAUGAAGCAGAAGCGCUGGGUAUAAACUAAAAACUCCAAGCACAUAAUAACUCAUACCUUUCUCGGCCUUUUGGCUAAGAUCAAGUGUAGUAUCUGUUCUUAUCAGUUUAAUAUCUGAUAUGUGAGCCAUUGGCUCACACGAUAUUAAAUUUAUUUUUUUAGGGGGAGAUUUCCGCCACUGAAGCUUGCUUCAGGGAAGUCUCGCGCGUCGCCUAUGCGUUGCACUACUUCAAAGGCCUGGCGCACCCCACCAAUCUCCAGUAAAAUAUCUUUCAUGCUGUGCAUGUAUUUGAAGCUUGAAUCGUUGAAACAUAAAACUAAAAUUAAUGAAGGCCCCGAAGCGAAGGUAGUCGGAAGUUCGAGGUCAUAAACCAAGUUGACUUAUAGCCAUUAAGAUACAUAUAUCUAGUUCCGAGUGGGAGGAGUCUUGGAAGAUAGAUAGUGUGUUCAUAGCAGGAUUAAUAGUUGCUGGUCAUUGUGUUUCUGCUAGGCAUUAGCUUCUUGUUAUUCAGGGGGAUGUUUCUGAUUUCACUGAUGUCUUUGUUAUCAUCUUGCUGUUCUUCAUGUUUUCUGCUCCAAUUACUUCUGAUACAGGCAUGAGAGGUUUGGCCAACUGAUUGAUGUUUUCAAAAACCAUGUCAUAGUUUAGUUACUCCGAUUCCGGCUUCGGUUAUGGUAUAUGCAGAAAUGGGGUAACAAACCAUCGUUAAGGUCACAAGACUCGACCAGUUCUGUGUUCUGUGGUUGAAGUUUUCGAUGAGACUACCUAAUUAAUACUUUCUGUACAAUUACCAAUCUUCCUCUAUUCCUCUUUUGACUUGAAAUGAAUCGCAACAAAUUACAUCGUAACCUUUCGGUUGAGGGAAGCUAGGCAUGAGAUUGUGUAUGGUCCAAAAAGCAAAUUCGAUUUGGUAAAGGUAGAAUAGCUUAUAGCCAGCAAUUUCUGAAGGGUUUUAACUAAGUUAGGAACCCUAACAAUGGUUUGAGUUAAUUAAAAUUUAUAAUUUGAGCGUCGGGGAAGACUCGAGCAAAAGCUCUGCAACGAAAGCAGCAACAAACUGUAAUUUCCUUUGAACAAACUAACAAAGGGCCUUUGUCUUCCGCCGCAACUAUGACAGUGUAUAUAGAUCUCUGUUACCUAAUCAACCUUACAAGGGUAUGGUGGUACUAUACUACAUUCAAUGUCAAGUACUCUUUAAUUAUGUUGUAAAUUUAGCAUACUGUCAUGCUGCAUUAUAGAGAUCUCUGUUACGUAUUCAAACUUUACGAGGGUAAUGAUACUAUGUCGGUAAGGAAUGUACUUAGAUUUUGAUGUUAAGCAUGUGUAUGAAUGUGAAUUUAGCAUCGAGUUAUAAGUCUGCGUGGAAUGAGUGGGUACAAACGACAUUACAAAAAAAAAACAAAAGAACUGGAGGUUGGAAUUAGUUAUUAGUGCUGCAGCUACAACACUAAGUAAUGCAAGAUGUAAGGAUGAUCAUGAAAGAAAUCGUGUGGUUUCACUAAUUCAAGUGAGGGUAUAUAUGUAUGUAUAAUUGGCUAAUUAACUCAUUUGAAAAUUAAUCAUAGAAUCAAUCGAAUGGGUGCCCCGAGCCCAGCGGCCAACUCUAGCAGGCAGGCAUGCAAGGUCAUGUUAGUUUAUCAAAGUCAGUCUUGGAGUUGAGCAGUGUUGGAGUUGGUAUAAAUGGGUUGCUGGCUGGAAAAUUUCACACGUCAGCCUGCAUCCUUGCGCUCCAUGGUGACUGAAAUCAUAGUACUACCUACAGAUUCAAUUCAACUGAAAAUAUGAAGCACAGCCACAACAUAAAAAUCAAACGACUGCAGGUGCAAGGCACGAUAAUGUUUCGAGCUACAUAUGAACCUAAACUUUGCAGCAAAUUCAAUAGAAGGCCAUCUCAAACACAUUGGAAGCCAAGUGUCUUUCUUUCUUUCUUCCUGGGGCCAAGCCAAUGGUUAUUUAUCAAAGCUACCUUUCUUAACGAAGGAAUAGAAACUCCAAGCCUUAGACAAUGCAUACUACCUUGCUGGUUUUGGUUUCUCUCCUAAUGAAAUAUAAUAAGUCUAAUUGCUGGUUUUGCUAGGAUCACUAGAUAGUAGUAACUAAAAACAAAAACAAAAUGGAAGAAGAGGGUAUGUAUUUGUGUAAGACGAUGUAAGUGAACAGUAAAAUCAACUUUAUAUAUAUCUGAAGAAGACUGAAAUACACAAAUUAAGCUGGAAAUUAGAACCGGAUGCAACUCAACCCAUCUAACUCAAUAUGACCCUGUAUGUGUUACAGUCCAACAACAUAUCCCAACUAGCUGUGUUACUAGAUCCUACUAUCUUCGGCGCUCUUACCCCUAGUUCCUCAUCGGCUGAGAUGCAAUCAAUUGUGCCAUCACACUGGCGUACAGCACAGCUGUGUGUUGUGAUGUAUACUCAUCUCCUAGACCAUACUCCAACAAAUUGGGUUCAUUGUGCAAAAAGCUUCCAUGCAGCGAUCGUUUCACAAUAGCUUCGUGCAAUAUAUCAACGAAAUCAGCUAGUAAUUGACUGGCCUUCUCCAUUGAAGAUACCGGAAGAUACUCCACCUUCAAAACACCAACAGGAUAAUCAUCACAACCUUAGUCUAAUCAUCAACCAAGCAACAUCCCAAAAUCAACAUCAACAAACUAAAUGGUCAACUUACACCAGUCAGACAGUAAAUGGCAAGAAACAUGAGAUUGUUAAUGCCCACCCAUCAGAUUAUUCAUAAAAAAAAACAAGAUUCGCUUUAUAUCGGGUGCCAAUUAUAUUAGAUUUAAGUUGUAUGUUCUGCUAUCUACUCCAAAAAUGGCAGGCUAGUGAGCUAAUCAAUCGUUCACUUAGGAAAUUAGCAUCAAACACCAUUCACAAAUAACAGCAACUUGUUAUUUCAUGGAAACUAUGCAUGAAACGGCUCGUAGAAAGCAACGAAACAAUUCCAUACCUCGAGAACUAUUCCCCUCAAGCUCUCAGAGUUACUGGGGACAACCUUCCCGACUCUCAACUGAAAAUCACCAAGUUGGUACUGCAACCCCUACAAAAUUCAGUACCAUAUUUCAUACAAUCAGAAAAAUGGUCAUCCCACACAGAGUUUAUAAAUAUUCUAAACCAAAGCAGCAUCGAUCAGUAUGUAGAAACCUCGAAGUAAAGCGCAAUUCGGGAUUUGUAGGACUGAAGCUUCUCCAUGAUAGUCUGGAUGGAAGAAUCAGCCUCGGUUACCAGCCUCUGACCUCUGAUUAUGAAGUAGUACUUGUUGGGCUGCUCCUGCAGCGAAACCCCCAAUAGUUCACGAGGGUAUUCGCACGCUAGGCUCUGGUCUUGUAUCAAUUCCACCAAACUCAAUUCAAUUACGAAAAUCCCCAAACUCGGAAUUGGAAGUGGAAAAGAGGAUAUUAUUAUGAAUCAAAUGAAAAACCUCGUAGCAUGGGCUUGAACAGUGUGAGAGUAGCUUUCCACCUCCCGUCUUUCACGCCGUUGAUUGAUUCCGCACACUGAGCUACUUCGUUCACGAUCUGUGUGUUGAUCGUGCUUCCCGGAUUUGGUUGCCAGUGCAAAACCCUAGAAAAUGAGGAAAAGGACAAUUCUUGGAGUUAGAUUGGAAUAAAGAACUCAGUGGGAAGAAGAAGGAGUUCGAAUUCAACCAUUUGGUCGGCAUUGGAGAAGCUGGGUUGACGGUAUGCUUGAUCGGAGCUUUGCUCCCAGGGAAUGCUCGAGCGUCCGCCUGCAGAGCUCCGACAGUGAGAUUUUCUAAAGAAAUUUAAAUUAUUGUACUGUAAAUCCAACGGCUCCGAUAUCAGAUGCUACACUGAUUUCAAAAUACAAUUAGUGCACUUGAUCUUUUGCCAAAUUGCCUGAAAAAACGCGAAACGGCUAUUAUCUCUCUCGGAUGGAUCCAAGAUGCCGAUCCGACGGUCCAAAUUCGGGUUUGAGAAAUUUAAUCCAACGGUGAUUUAAUCUCAGAGGGUAUGAAAGGAAAUGUUUUGUAAUCCACGUGUAGAAGAGAUGAUAAUACUCUCAAAGAAUUUCUUUUUCUGAUUAGUCCUCUCGGUUAAUAAAAAAUAAAAAAUAAACAAAAUUCAUAUAUGUCGACAAUUUGUAUGGUGCGAUUUGUUGUUGGUUCAUUGGUGCUUGAGCGAUACACACCCAAUCAAAUUUGAAAUUUCACGAACGUUUAAUAGAAAAGUCAAAAGAAACGAGUAAGAAAUGAUUUUAUAGUGUAGUUGGUUAUCACAUCAGUCUAACAUACUCAAGGUCUUCGGGCGAAGCCAAUUCUACCUUUUUUUUCUUAAAAGUUCAUUGCUGCUGUUUUUUUUGGGCUCAGACUUCUCAACAGGAAGCGGACUUUCUUUUUUCUCAGGUUCAUCAAAUCACCAGUUAAAUACAACCAGAUCUCCCACAUUUUGGUGAAUUGUUCCCUCUCCCCAUCAUGAAAGGCUAAACAAUACAUUUCUUAAGAGAGUAACAAAAAGGGCUGCUGCAGUAGUUAGCUAGUCUGAUUUUGUCCACUCCUUCCAAUCCUUGUCGACAUGUUUUUGGCCCCAUUUCAGAGCCAUUCGUGACACCUGAGGUGCUCCUGGCAAUUCACGCUCCUCGAUUUCGUCAGCCAUAUCCCCGAAAGGAUCGACCAGAAGUGUGCCAGGACCACCGUAUUCCGUGUGAAAGAAGGUGCCCAUGAUCUACAAAAGAAUCAACAAGAAGCAAAGGAUGUCUUAGGAAGGCUCUCUUUUAUGUAAUGUUCUUCACAAAACUUACUAUGGAGGAAGUAUAUCAGCAACUUCAACCAUCAGCAAGCUAAUAUAGCACUGAUCAAAGUAGUUCAGAGGCACUAACCCUUAGAAAUGAACUCCAAAAGUCAGCAAGCUAACCGAUUAUUCACGCGUUUUAGGGCAUUCUCACCUAGACACGAAAUCCUAUGAAAGGGAAUUGAAAUUUGUACAAGUCGACCAAGCCUCGUGCAAGUGAAUGAUUAUACUAGGAGAUAGCACAAUAAAACAUUUCGAUCAGAGGCUCAAUUCGGUGCCAUAUCGAGAAGUACUACAUCCCAAUAACUCGAGUUGUUGGAAAGAUUCAUACCUAGUUUUAUAUAACCAUUGGAGAAAUGCGAUUGAAGAGCACUAUUCGUCUCUACAAAGCAUAUUCGGUGACAGUUGAUGGACCCCUGUCAACCAAUCCGGUCUUCCGGUUCAAUAAAUCAGCAAGUCAAAGCCAAUAACUCAAGCGAGUUGUUGGAAAGAUUCAUACUUUGGUAUCAUAUAACAUCACUUAAACACAUAUGGUAGCAAAGAACACAAAUUUUUGGCUUAACUAGCUAGGAGAAGAAAGAAACCGCAAAUACCUCGGUGCAGAUUUCGACUACUUCAUCUAGUGAAUCUUUGAACCUCUCUUUCUUGGAAAGCUUCUCAACUAGAAAGCUUCUGAAUUUCUCAGUCUCCUGAACCAAACAAACAAUAACAGCAAAGGAAAACUCAGUAGGUAAGAACAAAUGCAGCAGCAGCAGAAAACUCAGUAGGAAAACUGACGGCAUCGGCGAAUUCGGGAAUUGGAUCGGGAAAUUUGUAGUUGUAAUCGAAAUCCUCCUCCUCCUCCUCUACUUCUUCGCAGAAGAGCUUUGAUGGGGGUCUUCUGUGGAUUGGUGGGUGGUGGAAAUAAGGAUGUGAAGCUCUGAAGCCACCAGCUAAUUGGCUUGGCCUCGAGGAACAGGAACGCACCACUACUGGAGGAGAAGAUGCAGCAAGAAGAGGGCGAGGAACUUGGAGAAGUGGAGAAGAGACGAGAGCUUUACUGCUCCAAGUCGCAGCCAUGGCGGGGCUGUAAUUGAUGUUCCUUAUCUUUCCCGAAGGGUUUAGUAGAGGCAGAGGUUUUGGGUUUAAAUGCGAAAGUUCUGUACUUUUUUAUCUUUUGAACUUCUCGUGACUUUGUAAGAUUUUACUGCGAAAAUUCAAAUUUUGGGUCAAAUAUUAUUUUACAAAUUUCAGCUAAACUGAGGACAGUUUUAAAUUAAAUUGGAGCUCGAAUUGAUCGGAUUGGGGUUAAUUUAGAAUGUAAUAUUUGUUCGAUUGAAUAAGUUUUUUGUGAUUAUAAAUUGUUAUCUCCAAUUUAUCAAAUUUGAGGGAUUAAUUUCACUUAGAUCAAGCUAUCAAAUUCUAUUUGGGAAGGUACAAAAUUUAUCGUAAUUGGAGGAGCAGUGGCUAGAACCGAGGUUAAUUCCAUUUUUUUAGAUUUGCUUAAACUAUAUGUAGGACAUGUUUUUUCAUGCCGGAAUUUGGAAGUGGAAUUUGCCAGAUUCGAGGGCCAAUUUCAUUAGAUACGCUUUCUACGACAUACCAAAUUUCAUGGCAUUUCGAGCUUAAUUCCGCCUAAGCUGCUGAAUUCCGUUUGGAGAAGUACAAAAUUGCCUUUAGCAUUGAAUCUGAAUUCCUGGCAGAAUUGGAGAUUGAGAAGCGACAAACGUGCCCCUAAUUUCGAUUAAAAGGAUUAAAUAGUGCAGUUAGACGAUGAUUCUAUGCAAUUUCUUUCUUCUAAUAUAGUGAAAAGGAAAUUUCAACUAAUAUAUACAUACGACUAUACGAGUAACUGCAACUCCCUCAAACUACAGGUUUCAGCUCCAGGAGGAACCAAACAAAAUUUCUACUUUUCUAGUAUAAAACCAGGUUGUAUAAUACACAUUGGUGAUUCUCAGAUUCCCCCAACCUAUACAAUGGUUAGCAAAAACGUACAGAGGAACAAGCUUCGCAUUUCCUUCAUGGGCGCCACAACGUGGAAAGCUUAUCAAGGUCUGCUCUUGCAAAAUGUACAGGUUGCAAAAACAUGUUAAAUCUCACAAGUUCCUUUCGUGAGGUUCAAGCCAUGGAAACCCCAAGAACUCAAACACUUCCUUCUCCGUCUGCAGUUUUAAGCUCACACUCGCCCUCGAACCCUACAGCAGAAAUGUGAUUUUUUUCAGAUGCACACAAGAAUUAAUUAGAUGAUGAUUCUGUGAACACGUCAGAUGCAGAGAUUUCGGUUUACCCGUUUGCCACUUGAAGAGUGAGUUGCUGGGAAUAGACCGGUGUCAUCUAGCCGGAAGCCUUUGGACUCUGCUAGCAGCCUCAGCCUGAUUUUAAAAGGUUUACCGGAGACAUAUUCGGAAAAUGAGUAACACAUUCUGAUUCGGAAAAGCUCGACUUACCUUCUGUUGAGUGUAUCAUUCCCAGUCCAUGCUAUGAGACCGAAAGCAUAUAUGUCCCUCGGAUAUACCUACAGAGCAAGACAGAUUGAGUGAGCUAUUGAGCUUCUGAAUCUUCAAUGCAACAUUAUGGUUCAAAUGAUAUCAUAUAACUAUUAGCAUUUAACUUCACCUUGAAAUCUAUCCGGCGUCGCAGUUCUUGUCCAGGAUAUGUACAAAGACCGAAAUAUGUGUCAACUCCAGAAUCAGUACCCUGCUCGCUGUGGGUGCUGAAAACUAAAUCUUCUCUUAAGAAUUCCAUUUCCUUGAGUUGUUUCACGAAUUUCGACAAAAACCCUUUAUGGCUGUGCAGAUAAAGACAACAUUUACUAAGGUAGAGAUGAAAUAUGAAAAAACAACACUGUUGAGCUGACAAAAUCUUCUAAGAACUUCCUGAAAGAUGAGAAUGAAGUUAUUAUACCUUGUCCCGUCAGGGUGAGUAACUACAAUAUCCAUGUCCCCACACGAUGAUUUCCCGCGUCUAUACGAUCCUCCACAUAUAAUAAGUACCUAGGGAACAUGUCGAAACGGUAAAUCAUAUUACGAAGCUUGAAGUCUUUAUGCCGUGCUAGAGAAAUCAUAAACUACUUAAGACUGGACUCACCCCUGGCAAAAUUUCUUCUCCAGUUUUCUGCAGUAGUAGUUCCAUUUCUUGAACCUGUAAUUAAUUCAAUUUAAGUAAAGCUUAUCAGGAGAAACAGAAGCAAAGGGUUGAAAAAGAAUAUUGAUUUUACAGGACCUCGCUGCGUGGAAUCCUUGUCCUAAUGUCAUCGAAGUAUUUCAGCCCUAUCUUCUGUGAGUUAGUUAAGGAAUCAUCGUUCUUCAGAUCAUCUAAUGUGCGGUGUCCUUUCUCGUAUAACUUCAGGGCAGUAGCUGGACCAACACCCCACACUUCUCCAAACAAAGUAAUGGCACGCACCUGGAUUUACUUGAGGGACAAAACUCUCUCUCACUUCGAUACAAGUACGAAAUAUCAACAUGAGCAUCCCUGAAAAGCCAUUACAUUUUACCUUUUCAUCCGUUUCAAAGUGCUCCAACUUGGAUAAUUUGCUAGUAGUCACUAUCUCUUGGAUCUGUAAAGAUAAGCAGCAUCCACCAUAAGACACAGGAUAGAACACUGGAACCAUUUUUCGUUUCCAGUCGCUUCAUCCACACGCUUACAUGGUCCUGCAACGACUUCCCAAUCCCAGGCAGACCUUUCACCUGUUCUGCACUCUCGAUUUUGAACGGUAACUUCUCAAUAACUGGGAUCGCCUUGUAAUAGCUGAACGACCUCCGGUCCUCACCCAAUGCUUUUACACAUAAAGCAAAUGUGCAAUAUGGAAAAUCAAUCAAAGGAAGAACAGCAAGGAAAAUUCAAGCAAAAUCAUUUAUGAAGGUCUUACCCCGAUAGAUAUUGAUAAGCUUCCCGAAAAUCUCAGUGAUGUUUCUAUUCAAAUCAGGUGGAUUAUACUCCACCGACAACUAACAAUACACAGAAAACUGGAUCAGCUUUCUUACCUCUACAACACACUAGAAAUUCCACAUCACAAAAUUACUCAACUUACAUCGGUAUUCGAGCUACUGACACUCUUCGGGCUAGUCCUUCCAGGACUAAGAGAUUCAUUCAAGCUAUCAGAAUCUGACUUGCUAUCUGCUUUGAAACUCUCCACAAUAUCAGGAGGAUCAUCACAUCUCACCUUCUUCAGAGGAGAAGACUCAUCAUCACCAUUUCUACUACUCUUGCUUCUUUGUGAGUUAAAAUCUAUGCAGUAUGAAUCCUCCGAAACCUUUUCCCCUAAUCUCAAACUCUCUUCAAUCCACCGGUAGAGGAGAGCUCUCUUGGGAAGAUAUAUAUAUAUAUAUAUAUAUGCAUUUCUUAUUAAUUAACACAUUCAAACAUUAAUCACUAACAGAAUCUAAAAGUUCAAAACUUUAACUUACUCCUUUGAAGCGUUCAAGGCGACGUGUAUCCACUUGCUUCAGGAGCGCUUCUAAACUCGUGGCGAAAAUGAAAUUGACCUUCUUGGAGAAGCGGUCCUCGAUUGUUGCUCCCAUUUGCAUCAGCUUCUGCCUCCAAAUCUUCAUAAAAAAAAUGGAGAUUAAAAGAUGGAAAGUUCCGCUUCUGAUGGGAGUAAAAGGAAACGAGAACAAACCUCUAGCCGGCGGGGUUGGACUUCAUUGUCAAUCAAGAACACAACCAUUCCGGCGAACAUCCCAUCUGGGUCGAUCGAAAGGGCUUUGCUUUUGGUUGCCCUUGGCGCCAUUUUUUGCUCAGUUUGGAGAGCUUUCGGUACACACUACACACUUCUCUGCAGAAACCGGCAGAAAAUUUCGAACUUUUUUGGCCAUUUAGGUUCAUGACUGCGGGUCGAUUUACUGGGUCUUCCAGAAAUCCGAACCCAACCCAGGAAAAUUGACAGGCUUAUGGGUGUUUAUGGGCGGAUGGGCCCAAAAGAUACGACGGGGUUGCAAGAGUGUUUAUGGGUCAAGGCCCAAUCAGAGUACAAGUAUUGCAAGUUCCCGCGUUAAUAAAUCACAAGCGCGGGAGAGAAAUAGAAAGAAGGAAAUUCGAUUUAGAAAUUUAAAAUUUAAAUCCUAAAAUUUGAGAUAUUUAUUUUUUCGAUAUCCCCCCAAUCCAUCACUUCACCGCUCUCCGAGCUGCGUACAGUUCAUCAAUGGCGGAAGAGGAGCAAGUCGAAGAAGUGACAAUCCAGCAGCAGGAGUUCCCGAACGGGCGCGUGAGGAAGAUCAUGAGGAUCGACAAGGACGUGAACAAGGUGACCUCGGAAGCUCUGUUCGUCGUCGCGCGCUCCACCGAACUGUUCCUUCGCUUUCUCGCUGAGAAAUCGGUCGAAGUGGCGUCGGAGAAGAAGCGGAAGAUUGUGAAGAUCGAACACCUCCGAGCGGCCGUCCAGAGGCACCAGCCGACCAGCGAUUUCCUCCUCGAAUCGCUUCCGACGCAGACUCAAUCUCAAGAAGAAACCGGCGGUGGUGCUGCGGCUCGCCUUCCUCGCGAAGUUACUCCGAAGCCGAUGCCUGCCGGUACUCGGCGGAUUGAUGAUUUCUUUGGUAAAUUUACGAGCAGGGCUUCUACUUCAGCUGAGAAUCAAGGUUGAUUAGUUAUGUUCCUACUUCCUUCUUCCAGAUCUGAAUUUUAGUUAUAGACUUCUGAAUAUCUUGUUGCUCGAUUCCGCUUUUGAUUUAGGUAUCUGAAUGGUUCUUUAUUAGAAUUGAACACUGACUAGAACUCGCGGGAAUGGAUUGAUGAUUGCCUUUGUGAUUUAGGGUUCAGUUGAAAUCCACAGACCACAGUUGAUAGUUGUAAUUUUCUCCUGGGAUUUUCUUGAUCUCGUUAUGUAUACAUGAGUUUGCGAUUCUGUUGAAUACAAAACUGUGGGCACAAAUAUCACAUUGCGGACUUCUAAGAUACCAGUCCUGUUUAUAAGUUCAGAGGGUCAGCCAUGUGAUUCCCCCUUCGCGGACAUCUGAUAAAAUUGGAACGAUACAGAGAAGAUUAGCAUGGACCCUGCACAAGGAUGACACGCGUAAAUUGAGAAAUGAUCCAAAAAAAAUUUCCUUCCGAAAGGAUAUUGUUCUUUUUACAAUUAGCGAUCAUGUUAGCAGCAGUUGGUUCCGUCAAAUUGCUCAGUGAAGGGUUGAACGGGGUGAGGUUUAUCUUUGCAAGCAAAUGGUGAUGAGGAGCCCUCGAGUCUUAUUAUUCAGAACUUGAUAUGUUCUUCUCUAAGUUCUCUUCAUGCUUGCUUAUGGUGAUUGGUGACAAGGAAUCGAGUAUCGGCAAACGAUUGAGGCUAGGUAGUAGGUAGUGCAGUGGAUAGACACGACAGCGAAUUCUGCUAGGAUCAGUUCAACUUUCAUUUUCAUCUAUCUUCUCUUACACCCGCACAUGUUUACAGGUACUACUGGUUAUGUUACAGAACAUCCACGACAUGAUAGAUAAAACUCAGACAUUCUCCAAACAAAGUGCGUAUUUCAAGUUGCGGAAGCUAGAAUCCGUCAUUCUUCCAAGUGAAGAGAGAUCUAUAGGACUUUUCAACAUUUUACUGCACACACUCUUGGAUCAAGCACACCUACCGACUUUCAAUCAAAGCAUGCCAAAGCAGUAGAGACUAGAGAGACUAGAGGGACUUCUAGUUUUUAUUUCCGAAGCUCAAUCGGUAUGCUCAUGAUGGAUUUGCACUGUUAUACCCCCAACCGCAGUAAAGAGUACCCAAAUCCCACACUGAAACUUUGCUGUGGUCUCGACUUGAUCACAAAACCAGAAUGCAUUAAGAUCCACCGAAAAUCCGGAUAACACAACUUCCAGCCUAAAUAAGUCUGAUUCAGCAAGAGGUUUGGCCAAACGUAAGUUACCGCAUAUUCUACAUCGUUGGGUUAUCUACAUAACAGAGGGCUUGCUCAACAGUCUCUUUCAGUAAUAAUCGUCAGUAACUAGUUACACAACCGAAUGACUAGUUACACACACAACGCCAACUCUAAACUCAUACCAAUAAUGCAUCGGAAUCGACCAACUUUCCUCUAUCAACGUUCUUCCUAAGUUUUCAGCUUACUUUGGUAGUCAGGAGGAAUCCUUAUGUCCAAAUCUUUCCCCUCAUGUGAACAGUGAACACACUUAACUGCAAAACCAAGUCUAGUUCAGCAAGAGACUGGUCCUCAUAUAUAUGCUGUUAACGUUUUACAGAUUAAAUUGUGCAUGGUUUUGUUUUAUUCAGUCGAUUACUCUCGCCCAUCACAUGACCGAAUGAAAUCACGUUACACAUGACCGAAUGAAUGCACGUUAUAACAUAAAAUAAAAUGCCACAAAACAAGGAUCUUGUUAGACUGCUACAAUCUUCAUUUUUCUUCCAACACUUUUCUAAUGACUAGAGUUGCUAGCUGAAAGAAGCCAGUAGCUAGUACUGUAGUAUCGUCGGUUCAGCGGAGCAAACAUCAAUCAAUUAACAUAAACAUGUGGGAUGUAAGAGAGUUAGAGAAGACAUAUGAACAUGGAAGUUGAAUUUAACUGAUCCUAAAAGAAUCUGAAGAGGAAGAGACGAAAGAAUUGGACCAUUCCUCGAUUUAUGCGUUCCGUCAAAGAAUGUGGUACGAUUCUGAUCGUAUCCUCACAACGUUCCAGAAACCCAAUGUGCCCGUGACAGUUCAUGCUCCUCUAUUUCAUACGCUACAUCCCAAAAAAUGAUCAAAAUCGCAACUUUUCAAGGCUCUAGCUUGCAAAGGAUAAAAUAAACGUUUAGGAACUAAUCACUGUACACCUACUGAUGAUCUUUGUAAAGUGCUGCAAUCUUGUUUUUGCUUGACCUAUCCAGAGCUUUUUGCUUCUACCCUUGUAAAAACAGAGGGAGAGAAAACAGAACGGACUUGCGGAAGAAGUAACUAAUAACAACUCCUCGGUUAGUUGCUCCGAAGCACAAAGAUGCUUCUGAGUUUUGAGCUGCUAAACUCAGUUGAUCCAGAGUCUUGUAUCUAUACCAACUUCAGUAUAUUAGAAGAACUAUGUUGUGUGGUUUUGUUUCAAGUUCCAUUGUGUCAGAAGACUUGUGAGUGCAAUAUCGACAGGCGACUAAACAGCAGACUUAACUGCGGCAAUUCGUUCUUGGUGCUGCUUCCAUUGCGCCAUAGGUAGGCUAUGUUGCAUCUGGUGUUCAGAGUAGCAUGCUUAUAGAAACCUUGGAACUGGAAAAUCGCCGAUUCACCAUAGUAGCUCACUUUGGAACAAGAGAGUGAUGACCGAUCAUAUAGAUGGGAAUCGAUCGACGUCAGAAUUUCCGUUUCAUAGCCGUCGAUCGCGCCGAUUUUCUUCUAUUCCCGUUUCUUUAACAAGAAUUCAACCAGGGUCAAAAUCUCGUAAGGAAAGUCAAUAUAUCACGACAUUACGGAGAUAUAUCUCCUCCCGAGUCAUAUCGGCAAUUACACUUUAUCGUCAAUUUAUCGCGUUUCGAAUUUGGUUUGAGAAGUACGAAACGUUUCGCGUUUCUGGGUGGUUUUCGUUUUCCGAGAAUUUCCAAAUUGAGUUAGCCGUCUGCCGUGCCGUUUCGAAUUUGGUUCCAAUGAAUCGAAACGUUUCGACGCAUCUCAUGGUAUUUCGACGUGUUUUUUUUUACAUUUGUCUCACCAAACAAUCUAAAUCUCCACAAACGACAAACCCAUCGUCUCAGCAGCCUCCACCGCUAACAAUGGCCGCAGCUGAUCAUACAGUCCGGCGUCGACAACACAAACUCCCAAAUUGAUGCACCCAAUAAGAGAUUCUUUUCGUACAGACAAUUUAAGAAAAAUAACAAUUGCACUGGAGAUUGGUGGGGUGCGCCAGGCCUUUGCAGUAGUGCAACGCAUAGGCGACGCGCGAGACUUCCCUGAAGCAAGCUUCAGUGGCGGAAAUCUCCCCCUAAAAAAAUAAAUUUAAUAUCGUGUGAGCCAAUGGCUCACAUAUCAGAUAUUAAACUGAUAAGAACAGAUACUACACUUGAUCUUAGCCAAAAGGCCGAGAAAGGUAUGCUUUGUUAUGUGCUUGGAGUUCUUAUUUUAUACCCGGUGCUUCUGCUUCCUUUCCACAAACCAGCGAUGUGGUGUUUUAUUUAUCUGCACUUCCUUCAGCUAUUCUUCUCCUUUUUCCCUAGUAGUAGAGGAAACAACAGCCUUGCUUUGGCUCCGAAUUGAUUGGUUCCAUACACUUCGUUAUCUGGAAUUACUGAAACGCACGAUUUCUUGCCAUGAUCAUACUUGCAUGUUACAUUAGUUCUGGAAAAAAAUAAGUGCCACGACCAAGAGAGAUCAUCGUCUGUCCACCCUUUGUUUACUGCCGUAUCAAUGCCGAAGGGAGAACAUCCAAAUCGAUUACUCGAUAUUACUUGAGAGCAUUUGGUAGUCAGGAAUCCUUAUUUCCAAAUCUUCACCUCAUGUGAAACACACUUAAUUGCAGAACAAGUCUGAUUCAGCAAAGACAAUUGGCCUCUUAUGCUGUCAAGUGCCUGGUUUGGUGUUAGUCAGUAGAUUUUUGAAGGUUCAAGUCCCUCAGCUACCUUAUUAGUCUCGUCCAGCACAGAAACUCAGCAAGUCAUCUUCAUAAGAUUGUAAUCAUAGAAGCAAAACCUCCGACAAAGAGAGUCAUAGCCAUCAGAGCUUGCUGUAUUCGAUAGAGAAGGAAAAGCACGAGGAUUGAGUCGAGGUAGCAAAACCAAAACUCCCAUAACGUUCUUCUUUUGUUCUUCAAAUGGGUUCGAGUCAUUAUAAUGGACACGGUUAUGGAGGUCCCAAAGUUCGAAUCUGAGGUAUAAAAGUUUAUCUUGGCCGCCGUCAAGGUUCAUUCAAACAAGAUGAAUUUUGAAGUACCAAAGGAAAAAACCAGAUGAAUUUUGCAAUAACAAUUCCACUAGAAAGAAACAAGUCAAACUAUUCAUUCAAUCUCCUCCAUCGUCUCAGUAAAACUUCCCCAUAUCAUUCAAUCUGCGUGUCUUAGGGAAGUAUUUUCUUUCACUCUCUACACUUAGCCGCGACAACAAACAAAACUGUAUUACCCCUUCUCUUUCUGAGAAUAAUUACUAUCGUCUUCUUCUUCUAGUAGACAAUGUUUACUUCCUUCUCGUUCAUCUCAAGCACAUGGUCUCUUGCAUCACUCAACGCGCCCUGCACCAAAAGAUACAUUAGAACAAACCAGACAAACCCAGACGGAGGGUAGAACCCAUUGAGAUGAUAGGGAUUGUUCAGAAGACCUGGCCGAAUUUGGUAAGGAAGUUGUUUGCAAGGUUUAUCGAGGCUAUCUUCACGUCUUCGUUGGCUUUCAGUGCUUGAGCUAUCGCAAAAGCUCCGUCAUCCUGAACAGGAGGAACUUAUCAGAACCUAAACAGGCAAAUCCCCGGAGACGGGGAGAGAGAAUAUUAACAAAGGAAAGUGAGCGUACUCGUAUUUCGUUGAAUCCCAGGUCGAGUUCGGUCAGUACUUCAUUUACCACCUUCAAGCUACGAGCAAUGCAGACUGCACCCUGCAAUAUUUCAAAAAACGGAGGUUUAGGUAGAACCGCGGGUGGAAAAGAACACAAAAUCAAGGGCAGGAUGACGAUGAUAAGAGAAACGAUGUACUUCGUCUUUGAGCCCAUUUCCUCUCAAGUCCAACACCGAGAUGGUGUUGUUAUAUUUAAGAGUUUCUGCAAUGUGUUCUGCGCCUUUGGGACCUAUCUGACACCAACCAAGCUUUAAGACCUUUAUGCUGCCAUGAAACUUGAGAAUGUCGGAUAAUGCCUUUGCUCCGUCCGGUAAGAUAGGAUUAUAACCCAUUUCCAACUGAGAACAGGAGACAAAGAUGGGAAACCAGAGAACCUUCUCAACACCAAUAUAUCUCCACACUCCAAAACGAGAAACUCACUGUCGUGAUAACAGAGUUAUCUUUGAAGACACGAGCUAUUGCAGUGAUCCCGUUGGUCCGUAUGUUAUUUCCUCCCUGUAUUGUUUUAGAUCCUUAUAUCAUGAGUAUCCUACAAAAGAGAAAGAAUACUUUGCUUACUUAGUCUUCUCACCAGAUCUAUGAUUGAUAUACUCCGGUUCUCCUUUAAACCAGCAGCAAUCUCCUCCGCACCCUGACAAAAGUUUCAGGAAAAGUUCAAAUCUAAGGACCAUAUCCAGCAUCUGUUUCAUUAAGGCAACAAAAGGUAUACUCCCUCAGUGACUUUGUUACCUCGUCUCCCAAGUCAUUCAUGUACAAGUUCAGCCAAAACAAGCUUUUGCUCUUCUUUAUGUAUUCAGCAACAUGAAAGGCACCGGUUCCGCUUAUUGAGUUGUUGCCGAGGUCUAGAUGAGUGAGCUUUGCUGAAAAGCGUAUAGAAAUGUUAGAAUUUAUUAUCCUGAGCAUCUUGUGUUAUGACAAUAGCAAAAGGACAGACCUUUACUGGACGACAACCCUGAUAUCAGAGCACGAGCUCCCUCGUCACCAAUUGAAUUUCCUUGCAAGUGAAGUUCCUGAAGGAAUGCAACUCCUCUAUAUAAUCAAGUAAGAAACUAACGUAUAAUACAAUCAAGGCUAUGGCUAUGUAAGUUCGAUCAAAGAGGAGGGAUUUUAGAUGCAUGAAUGUGAGCUGUACCUGCAACGCCUUGUUCCCCUCUAGCCCUUUCGCCAAAGCAUUAACACCAAGUGUUCCCCCAUAAUUGCCACUUGAUUAAUAGAGAAAAUAUCCAGCGUAGAAUAGCGAGACAUUAGAAACGACAGAUGGAAAUAAAUACAACUACAGAAGGAAAUAAAUGACCACAACUACUAACUUGAGAUACAAACUUCGUACUGUGUUGUUCUCGGCUAACGCUCCAGCAAGACUUGUAAAUCCCUACUUACAUUUCCAUAGUAAUCAUAGGCAGUGUCAAUACUGGCAACUUUGGCUGCUUAUCAAGUUGUAUUAAAUGAUAUGAAGAGGAAAUAACUUACAGAAUAAUCAAUCAUGUUGUUGUUAAGUUCAAUCACGCGUAAGAUUGAGUUUUUCUUCAGCAGGUCUGCAAUAGCUUGUCCACCCUGCCAGAGCACAAACAUAUAGGAAUGAAAUAUGCAGUUAGAUAUACAUAUCAGUUGUGAAAUCGAGAGCAUCAUUUCAGUAGAUUACUGAGUACCAAAGAGUUGACUUACCUCAUCACCCACGUCAGCACUAUUCAGCUGGAGCUUUUCAAUACCAGUAUUGUUCGCCAACAUUGCACAUAGGAUCUGUUGAGGAAAUUUGACAGCAAAGCAUAAGAGAUACGGAAUUAUAAAGUAGACAAAUGAUGUGCAAAAGAACAUUUAGUACACGAGUUCCAUAUCCUUCAAACUAGUUCAACGUUGGAGUUAGACCAACCUUGGUUCCUUCAUCUCCAAUGGCAUUCCCAGAAAGGUUCAGAGUCUUCAAAUAAACGUUCGUUUCAAGAACCCCUUUAAAAGCAUUUAUCCCUUGUGCCGUUAUUCCAUUAGAAGCAAAGCUAACUUCCUCUAGAGUCUGAAACCCAACUGACGUCAGAUAAUACUAAAAGGAAUAUGAUAACUGAACCAGAAGGAUCGAGUCGCAGGACAACAACAAAAACUGAGCUGAGAAGAGAAACGCAACCUUGUUGUAAGCCAGGUUCGUAGCAAGGACGAACAUGCCUUCAUCUCCAAAAUUACACCCUGUCAAGUAGCAGGGAACCACAAACUCAUUCACAUAAGAACCCUACUGUACCCUUGUGAUUUGGCCAUCCAAAACUAUUUGCUGGAAAACUAAAUCAAUCGAUAAAGUGUAGUCGCUAUACCUGACAUGUCAACGCUUCCGUAUCUUAAUAACUCGUUGGCAAAUGCAUUGAGUGUCACCUUGGCCUCAUUGGAAGAGAAACUCGACAGCAAAUUCGAUCCAGCACCAAAAGGCCAACUCAUUCCCUUGGCAGGAACUUCCUUUCCCUCCACUGCAACCCUUUCCUCCACUGAAGGGUUACCUGGCUUUGGCUUUAAGAAUUUCUCCGCCAAUUUCCAUAGAACUGUUAGUUGAAACUCCAGUUAGCACCACUUAAUUCUCGAUACACAAAUCCUUAAAAUCACUUGAUCAUAAAAAUAUCUAAUUGCAGCAACCUAAGCCUACUAAUCAUCCAAGUGAUCAGCAUUCAGUCAAAUUACAAUGCCAAAUGUGAUCAAUCGCAAAAUUCACAAGUAGCUGGGGGAAAUUAAUUCCAUACCGAUGCUAGCCACGAGGGCCACGCCGGCGGGAAGCGCGAACGAAGCAAUCUGAUGCACCGGAGGAUCACCGCCGAAAGAACUCUCUCUUUGGGACUGCUUAUAGACUCUCCGGCCACGACCGGACGUCGAAGCUGCGGCGUUCACGACUAAGCGCUUGAACCUGAAACAUCUUCUUCUCGAAGUAGAAUCCGAAGAAAACGACAACAGAAGCGCGCCUUGAGCUCGAUAGCGCAGCGCGGACGGAGGGCGAGCAAUCUGCAGAAGCUCUUAUGUCUGAGAAAAGGAAAGGAGAUAAGAGAAUACAAUAAGAAGUAGAAGACGGUACCUGAGGAUGAGAGCAGAGGGAGAGAGUGGAAGAAGAACUCAUGGGGUUAUUGUGAGGAUUCUAAAUGCGCAUAGAGAAGAGUGUGAGUUCUAAUCUUAAUCGACAGAGCACGGCGGAGAUGGCGGCGGAGGAGGAGAUAGAAAGCGGCGAAGGCGAACUCCGGGCGGCGGGGAAUUUAUUUUUUCAGCUGGAUUUUUAGAUUAUCUAGCCAUUAAUGUCAACGACCAUUUCGGAUUACGGGGUCGGGGUGGGAGUGAGAGUCAGUAUUGGGCUUCUUUGUCGGGUCGGGUUGAAGAUGUUUAUGACAAGACGGGCUUUUAUCCAAAUAAAGUCCAUAGUUUACUGAUGAUAGUGGGUUUGGAUCUAUACCAACUCAUCAGGCCUGUAUGGGGCAAGCCUACCCAUGAUGAACCCGAAUAGUCGCUCAUCGUGUUGAAUCAUCGAGCUAAAGUCUAACCAUAAGAGGUGACAUCGUUAAGAAUUUGAUUAUUUCAUGGAAAUGGAGUGUAUUUUAUAGAUAAUUUGUAUUGCUUUAUAUAAGUAUUUAUAGCAAAGGAAUCGGUUAAGAGUUUGAUUAAAGUCUAAUCAUACGAGGUGCCAUUAUUAAGAGUUUGAAUACCAUGAGAAUGAAGUAUAUUUUAAAGUUAGGUUGCUUUAUAUGGAUAUAUGUAGUAAAGAGAUUGGUUAUUGUUUUCGAUAUUCAUGUUAGUUUCUCAUGAUCACAUUUGAUUGGGAGCUGGAUCAACGAGACUAAUACUUGAAAUUGAAUGCUAUAUAGUAAUCAAGAAUCAAAAUUGAUUCGAGAGGAAUUAUGACAGAAUUUCAAAUUGUUUGAAAAAGAUGGAUAAAUUCAAGAAUAUAUGACAUACGUGUUGUUAGAAUUGUGGGUUGUUGUCCAACUAUUGAUGAGGAGGGACGAUUCUUCUCAAUAACACUUUUAAAGAUUGUCAACUUCUACAAAUUGCUAUAUAAAGAUAGCCAUAAUUGAAUAUGUUAAUGAGAAAGACAAUCGAGUUACUAACUAUACUUAGCUAGUAUAUUACAUAAACUAAUAAAAUUGUGGGUAAAAAGUUACAGUUGUGUAAAAUAUGACUAGUAUAAUAGUACAUCUAAACGUUUUCUCACAUCAAUUUAAUUUCGUAUAAACUUCUUAACCUUGACACUCCCACUUGUUAACAAAUUCGACCUCCAAUACGAUUCUAACAGAAUUAUCCACAAUCCCCAAAUCCAAUAGAGACCGAUAAUUGAGCAUGGGAGGCAUCGUUUUCCGACAUCAGCUUAUCAAAUAAACCAAAUUCCAAAUGAACAUGGACAAAUAUCUGCAUAUCCUAACAUACCAGAUGGCCAACCCUCGAAAGACACCAGAAAUUAAGGAAUCCAUGGCGGGUUUGCAGCUGCUUCUUUGUUCUUAUAUGCUCUUCUUUCUCAUCGACACCACACCACUAUGUUUUUACACUUUGUUCCAUCAUCUAGGCCAUGUUUGGAAACAUUUCAAUUCAAUCCAAAUAGAAUUGUAUUUCCAUGACUGCUGAAAUGCAAUUAAUUCUUCUUUCUUAAUUCAACUUUCCAGUCAUAGCUUGUACCAACCUCAACUCAAUUUCUUUCCAUAUUUUCAACUCAGCUUUCCUAAAAACAUAAUUAUCAUUUCCAAAAGUCCAAAACUAGGCUCCUACAUGGGUAAGAACAAAAACCAGCAUAUAAGCUUUCAUCGGUCACAACGAAACCACAAUGCCAUAACUCACCCGCAUCAUACUCCUCUAUAUAUAUAUAUACAAUCACACAUGUAACAAGCUCAUCAUUCACACAUUCUCACUCAACUGAAGAUAAAACAAACCAAACCAUUUUCAUCUUCCAAUUUCCCAACAUCUGAGAUGUCCUCUGCUGCCAUGGCUGUCAAGCUCAUUUUCGGAGCCAUCUUCGCUGCUGCAUUGAUUGCGGUAGCUUCUGCAGGUGACAAGAUGCCCCCUAUGCCAGGGAUGCCUCCUAUGCCUGGGAUGCCACCCAUGGACAUGGCUCCGACUCCGACCAACGGUUUGAAUGGCUUUGUGGCUCCUUCCAUUGCUGUUGGAGUUGUUCUUGCCAUGGCUUCUUUCAUCUUUGCUAGAAUCCAAGUCUAGAUAAGGAAAGGAAGAGCUUAUAUGUCCAUAAGUUGGAUCUUUAUUUUCUUGUGUCUGGUCUAGUUUGCUGAGUGUUUCUAUCCUAUUUUUAUAUCCAUAUGUGUCCAAUAUCUGAUGUGAUCAAUUUCAAUCGUUUGCUCAACUUAAUCUAAAAACCUUGUAUAUGUGUCCACAUGAUCUGACCCGAUCCGAUCUCGAACAUGAAGAACAAUGGAUUAUGGCCUUGUUUUUUCGCACUGGAAUUAGCCGGAUUUCGGGGUCAAUUUUGGACUCCGGAUCAAUUACCUUUUAUAUAUUUUCAGCAGUCAUAUUAUUUUUUUGCUCAAAGGAUGUCCAUUCAGGCUGAAAUUCCAAGCUGCCGGAUUUUACAUUGAAAUGGAAUUCGGAGGCUGGAAUUAGGCGGAAUUAAUCCUCAAGUUUGGCGGAAUUGGGGUUACGGAAAACGUAUCUGAAAGAAUUGGUUGGGUGUAUGGAAUUGAACCUCAAAUCCGACCAAUUCCACCCCAAACCGGCCGCGAAAAAACAAUACCAACAUUUCCAAUUCCGCUGGAUAUGGGAUCUUGAUUCUGCACGAUUCCAACGCCAAAUUACGAUUGGAAAGGUUCGGAUUUGGCAUUCAAUCGGUGGAUUUGGAAAUUCCGGCCGGAAUUGGGAGUGAGAGCGGAAAACAACUAUAUGUAUGUAUGCCAAGGAAAAUAUUAGCAGUAAGAACUAGAACUCGUGGUAGAAUUAGAGAGAAAAGAAUGUGCAAAGGAAGCAUGUACAGCUGCCCCUACAGGCAAAGCAUCUUCAUCUAGGAAAAAAUAAGGGUUAUGAGGAGGGUAAAUUGCCCCCAAUUUCUCAUUCCUAAUCCCUAAAAACAUGAAAGAGCCAGGAACUCUAUCCAGGUAAAACGCAAAAUCCUCACUCCCCAUGAAGCUAGGGGACACCUUAGUGUUGGACUCCCCAACCACAUCUCUCGAGACUCGCGUCGCGAGCUCGUACACACCCUCGUCGUUUAUCGUGGGAGGAAUCGUUGGAUGUUCGCUCCCGUCGAAAUCGACUUCCGAAGUGCACCUAUGGACCGCCGCCUGUGCACCGAUAACUUCCUUGAUCCUCUCCCUUAACGACUUGAACGUCUCCCUGCUGAAUGCCCUGAAUGUUCCCGCUAUGGUGGUCGAAUCCGGAAUCACAUUGAACGCGUUCCCACCGUUGAUCAUCGCCACCGAAACCACCUGUGAAUCUAGAGGGUCGGCCUCUCUCGACACGAUGUUUUGUAGACUAAUGACCGAGGAAGAAGCUGCGAUGAUCGGAUCGAUUGAGUUUUGAGGAAUGGCAGCGUGGCCGCCUUUCCCGGUGAUCUUCGCCUUGAAGCUUCCGCAUCCGGCCAGGAACUGUCCUGGCCGGGAAGCAACCGAACCGGUUGGAAACACGUGAGCUAUGUGGAGGCCAAAGAUUGCUUUCACAUUGUCCAAUGCGCCUUCUUCAAUCAUGUCUUUCGCUCCGCGCCCUUUCUCCUCUGCCGGUUGGAAGAUCAGGACAACUGUCCCUUGCAAUGUGUCUCGAAUCUGUUGCAGGAUCUUUGCUGCACCCAGCAGCAUUGCCACGUGAGCAUCGUGGCCGCAAGCAUGCAUUUUGCCGUCUACUUUGCUCUUAUGCUCCCACUCCACCAUUUCCUGAAAGAGAAUCAACAGCUAAAAACUAAGAACAAGUCCUCUGGAGUUGUUGUGACCACAAAAGUUCCAAUCUUUUUUCUGGGUUCAAGAAACCCAGAUCAGCCAAAUGAGUAACCCUCAAUGUUAUCAAAAACCAAUCAUGAAUCUCACUCAAUAAUAACUAGGAUGCAACAGUUCCAUACAGGAGUUCCAUACAUGGCAUCAGAGCUUCCGAGCAAAAGGUUUUAAAAUCAAUAUUGUUAGUUCCCGGUAUAACAAUUGGUCGAUCUUCACAAAUUUCAAUCGCCUUCAAUGAACCUCUACUAACCUAAGCAACGAUUCUCUACCUCGACUCAUAACUGACUACAGAAGAAGCCAUAGUCAUCAAGUAACAAGGAAAACUCAGCUUAAUUUAGCCGGUGGAAAAAAAGUUGAAUGAAAUGUUGAGCAAUUUUACAUUUACACAAAAAGGUUUAGAUCCUGACGAAGUGAUAUUUAAGAAACGAAUUUUUCAUCCAACUAUACACCGGUCAAACCAAAGGCUCAUCAAACAGCUCAGUACACUGUUGUGGACCAGUAGCUCAGCAACAACCAACUUCCCAGGAAGAAAAAUGACCACUUUUUUCCAAUAAUUGUGAACUCAAGUGGUUGAUGUUCAAUAGAUUACAACUUUAAGCAAAUUAACUAUACACCAAUCAUUUUAUAACGAUCAUCCGUACCCCCCUUUUGUUCUAAGCCAUAAAGGAACCACUCAAAGGAAAUAUCUUUUUCUAUAAUGGCCAGCCAAUAAUAAUUCCUGAAAUCAGAUUCGCUUUCCCCACAUUGAAAAAGGAUUCCUCUGCACUGUGUUCAUUAUAGUAUAUUAACAGAAAAAAAAAACGUGGGACCGACCGGCGACGAUUAAAAAACCAAUUACCCAAAAAUCGAAUCAAUCAGAAAAUAAUGCUCCAGAAAUUGAAAUUGGAAUUUUUACCUGAAUAGGCAGAGCAUCCAUAUCGGCUCUCAGAGCGACGAACGGCGGCGAACCGCUCCCCACCGUGGCAACAAUCCCUGUCUUCGCGACCGGCCACCGGUACGGAAUCCCUAGCCGAUCGAGCUCCUCCCUAAUCAGCUCACUCGUUUGGUAUUCCUCAUAAGCCAGCUCCGGGUUCUCGUGAAUCCUCCGCCGUAUCCCCUUUAUCCAAUCCACCGUCGCUUUAUCAUUAGCCAGCUCCACGAUCCGCUCCUUGAUCGAACAGUUCUUCGAAUUGGGUGCCAAUUGGAAGCUCAGGGACUGAUCACAACGGCAGAGAAAGGAAGCGAUCAAGAGCAGGAUGAUUUGCGCCGCCGCCAUGGCCGCCGGAGAGAGAAUUCGUGGCGCGGGGAGGAAAUGAAAUCAAUAAAAACAAAAACUAGGAAUUGAGUAUUGGACAAUUGUGUGGGUUUUAAUUUAUAGUGGGGAUCUUUAUUUUUUUUCCCAGGUUUGAUUUUUCUGGGUUUGGUUUUUUUUGGGGUGGGUUAUGUGGAAUGAAGAGAGAAGUUAGGAACAGAGAGUCGUGCGCUGGCGGGGAGGAUUAUAUGUAAUUAAGAUAAUGUGGAUCACGUGCUGGAAUACGAUUUGGAAAGUGAGUGGAUACUGUGUGCUAAAUGCCUGAAUUCUUUCGUCAUCGUUUGAAGAAGUUUAUUACUUGGGGUUGACGGUGAUUUAAAUCAACCCAGCCGGUCGGAUCGUAUAUGCAACAUCCGAGAUUAAUUUCGAGUACGAUCCUCUUUACUCGAAUAAACCCAUUUAGAGAAGUUGGAUAUGCAAUCAGUUGAGGAUGAAGUUUUCAUAACUUUGGUUUUUGUGUUAUGGUUUUUUUUAUGAAGACGUCGAGAAGGAAGGAAUCGAGAUGAUUUGUGUGAAUUCCGAAGAUUAUGUGGUUAAUGGAGUAAUUGGUCGUUUGUUUUACAUAACUUCGAUUGUUGGUGAGACUAGAGUUGUGUUCGCUACUUGUUUUCUCACUUUUCGAGAGAGAGAUAUAGGUCAUGUUUGGUCUUAUUAUAGAGAGGUAGGUGGUUGAUGCGUGCUAUUCAAAAAUUGAAGAAUGCUAUGUUGAUAUAGCUGUUGUGUAUGAGAUUUUGAAAAAAUUUCUUCUGAUUCAGGUUCAUUACUGUCCUCGUCGUUUUUUUUUCCAACAUGUAGCAGAUACAAUAGUAAGGCAAACGAGAGACAAGAAAUUGAGUUUUUAUUUGUUUAGUGAUUUUGUUACCUGUUCGGGUUCCAUCUUUGUGUAAUUCUCAAAGUACUCUAUCUUUUGUUGGUAUGUAACACUUGUUUAGACUUUUUCAUUUAUUUGAAUAUAUAUCCCGUGUGAUUAUGAGAUGAAUAAUAAUUAGUAAUCUGUGAUUCUAAUUAAAUAUGGCAUUUUAUUUUCUUUUCAAUAUAUGUGUAUUUCAGUGCACGUUUAAAAUCCUAUAUUGUACUAGAUUCAAGGAACAAGAACAAAAGGAUUUGUCUUUUGAAAGGGAAAAUUUGUAAUAAAACAAAAAUAUUCGAAGCAAAGCUACCAAUGCGCAUAAGACAGCUUACAAUUGUGAUUAUGGAUUGUGAUAUCAUGUUUUAGUCAAAUGAUUUUCCACCCCCAAAGUCCUAAUUCGCCAUCUCUCAUGAUGAUAUUCGAUUAAUAAAAAGGAAAUUUGGUCGUCAUUAAAAUGAGUAGAUCGUAUGCUUUCUACCUCAAAGGUAAUGUGUAUGUCGAGAAUAGAAUUGGAUUUGGUUUGGCAGGUACAAUGUUGAAUGUAAUUUGAAUGAGAAUUGAAAAAUUAGCUCUCUCUUAAAAUACACUUUGUUGGGAUCUAAAUUUCUCAUCCGGAUAGAAAAUUUGUCAAAAUCUCAUCCAACUUUCCAUACACCAAACCAAGUCGUAAUGAAUGAGAGCGAUAGCGUCGCAUUUCUUAGCCUAUGUACAACCAGGAGCCGUCACCAUAUGGUAUAGCCAACAAACUCUUCUUUAAAAUUUAAAUAAACAUGUGUAGAAAUCAAAUUCACUGUUAACCAAAUGUCUAUGCUUGGACCUAACUAUUCAUAUGUCAACUUAAAUUAUAAUUUGUGUACCUACCAGUAAUUUGUCACCGUCAACGUACGGCCUUAAUUUCCAAUGAUUUAUUGAGAUUAGGAUAUAGGAUCAUUAUCAUACUAUUAUUUUGAUAUAUAUUAAUUUCAAAUUAAGGUGAACAUUGUCCCCACGGAAUCAAAGAGGGAACAACUUUAUAUUACAAGAAAACUAUGAACCAUAUGAUGACAUAAAUAUAAUUCAAGUUUUGUUCAUAGGGGUGUUAACAACUCAGUUGAUAAUUGACAUCCUGCAAUACGUCUAGUGCCCUUUUUUUGACGUGUUCAAGACGUACACUUCACUAAUUAAUCCAAAAUUCAUAUCAUUGAUAGCAUGGUUCUUCCCUACCCUCAAACUUAAUUCCAAUUCUAGGGAAAACGUAACACUAGGGAUUAAUAACCAUAUCAAUUCAAUAGUGGUUUCUGGUUUCUUGAUUUCUUCCGGAAAAAAACCUCAUUGGGAUGAAGUCGGAGAAGUGGUUUUUGGAUUGAAGUAGAAAGCUCGUACAAAUUUUAGUCAUCUAAAAAUCAUGUUUUAGAUCUAACGGUUGAAAAUAUAAAGGGCAACAUUGACAUUUUAUAGUUAUACAAUUAUAUAUACUAAGUAUUAUACUAAUAAUUGUACUAAGUCAUGUAAUACUUAAUACAAUACUUUAGUAUAAUAUAUACUUAGCAUUACACUUUGUAAAAACCUCAUACAAAUAUGUAUACACUUCUAUAUGGGUUUGUAUAAAUAUAUACACAUUUGUAUGAUCAUUACAACUCUUCGUACAAAGUUGUACCCCCGGUCGUCGGAAAAUAUUUCCAGGAAAUUGUUUUCACAGAAACGUAGAGUCGACGACGGUGAUCACGUGGGUGAAAAAAAUUUCAUCAACGGAGAUCGGCAUCAUCACCGAGUAAUUGAUGGGGAAACUUUCUGGUCACCGAAGAUGGUAAUCCGGCCAUCAAAAACAUGGUUGAAUGUGAUUGAAAAUAGUUAAGUUUUGAUCCAACAAAAAAUUAAAAAAAAAAUAACUACAUACAGUGAUCCAAGAAUCCGUGUUACUCCUGGGUCGGAUCGAGGAAGCUGUGUGCCUGAUUCCAGAAUCGGACUCCCUGAUGGGAGUAGAAGUAGCCGUAAAAGUAAUCAAAUAAUAAUUAAUAAGCUGGAUAAAGUUUUCAACUAACCAAAAAAUACUAAUUAGCAGCCAUUGAUGUGCAGUACAUGGGGUCAAAUUGUAAAGGCCAUAUUCGUACUUUCACCGAAUUCAUAAUAUUAUAUAAUGUUGGGUUACGUUGAAUUAUCCAAUUAAGGUUGUUGAAUUCUUCAACUUAAUUUUUUUGCUUAAAAAGACUGUAAAAAAGGUGUUAGUUAGAAAGGUUAUAUAUACAGGUCUGGAAUUGAACGAAGCAGUGACGUAAUUUUUAGAGGUGGUGGUGAGUUGAAGUUUACGUGACUAAUUUCUUAACUUAUAUAUUCAUGUGGAUAAGCAAAGUUGCGUUCACUAUCUUUUCACCAUGUGCAUGUAUCAUGCAAUAUGUGUGAAACAGAUGAAAACGAGGUUCGGUAAAAUUCCCCACUCCACGUCCCAAGUUACUUUUUCAAAGCUUCCAGCUUCACAGUCACACUUUUACUCUUAUUUACAAUCAUUUUUAACCUUAUUUGACUUAAAUUAAAAAAACGUAACUUAAUUUUUUAAUCAUUUUCAACAUAUAUGUCAAAUAUUAGUCGAUUUGAAAUUUUUUUAUUUUCAUGUAAAAAUUGUCGAUGUUGCAAAGGGGCNNNNNNNNNNNNNNNNNNNNNNNNNNNNNNNNNNNNNNNNNNNNNNNNNNNNNNNNNNNNNNNCACGAUGUUAACCUCUCCAAAUAAUAGUCAAAUGAAGUUAAAAACUAUUUUUGUCUUGAGACUGUAUGGUAAUGGUGUUAUUUUUAGUCUUGAAAAUUUUCAAAUUGACUAACUUUUUGAAGAUGGUAAAGCAGCCGAUGAUUACAAGUCCAUCGCGAACUUGCUUCGAGCUAACUUGAUAGUAAUAUAUUUGAUGUAAACUUAAAAUUAAUUAUACGAGUAGUAGCUAACUUGAUACUUAUACUUCACUGCUUCAAAAUAAAUAAAUUUCUUUAGUCAAUAUUUAAUUUAAUUUAUCUUCAUCAUAUUUUCUUAGAGUAAUUGAAUUUGAAUCCAGUACCUACGAAUUACCGGUACCCAACCCUACCAAUUGAGAUAUGUACCCUGCUUGGACUCAUCAAAUCAUUUUACUCGAUUUUCAUGAAUUUAGAUCAUCUCCUCUACUCAAAUCGGGCUAGAUUUUGGAAUCGAGUUGGGUUGUGUUUCAGAAACCAAGGAAACGGCUGGUCACGUACGUUCAUGCAGAGGUGACAUGCUAUAAUUUAGCAGACGUACGUGACUAUAAAAAUUAAUUUAUUAUAAAAGAAUAACAGAGCAUGUCGGUAGGCUGGUUAGCUUACCAUUAAACAAAAAUAAUUAUACAAACUGCACGCACGUACGACGAAACCCCCUUAUGAACUUCCACGCAAUAAUCCAAACCCCAAAACGACAGAGACCCAGUUAACGAGUUCAUUCCGUGGCCGCGUUUUUGGCCUUCUUGUUAUUCUGUGCGAUGUCUUGAUCGAGUUACGCGUAUAGUUGGAUGGUUUCGAACCAAUCGUAACAUUUUGAAUUGCGUUCAGCUGCAUAUAAAAAUAUACUAAUUUCGAUAAAGAAUUAUAUAUUAUCAAAAUUCUAAAUCUAGUUAGAUAUGAGUUGGUCCGUGAGGUAGAAAAAUCUUCUUUUAGAUCCGCGAGUGUGCGUAAUAUAUAUACAGACAUAUAAGUAAGUAACGAUAUGGAAAAUUUAUACAGACGGGUUUUAGUGACCAACAAAUAAGUGAUCGUUUUCUAGUAAAAUGGUUACUGAUAAAUCAAAACAAUCACUAAUAAUUUAUAAUAACUAGUAGAUUAUUGAAAACCGGUCAAAACAGUCUCAUAUUUAUGGUCCCUAAAAUUACUUGUAGUUUUAUCGAUUGAAAAGUGAUGUUUCACACCGUUUGCAACCGUAAAACGUAAAUUUUCAUGAAUGAAGAAAUGUCCUCGUGCAUGUAACUUACAAAAAGAGUUAGUAGGUGCGCACCUAAGCCCAUUUCCGACCCGUAUUUUUAAAUUUCGUUGUAAAUAAUGUCCGUAACUCGGCUAAUGCCGAUAUCCUCCACAUAGUCCAACUUUGGAAAGGGUCAGACAUCCGCAAGUAUGGAUUUAGUUUCCAUUUCUCAUAUCUCGUAACGCCCAUAACUCGAUCCAAUGGAGAGUCGGAUAUCCGCGAAUAUGAAUUUCGUUUGUGCAAUUUCUUGUGGCUUUUCAAAGUGGCGUGUGCGUUUGCUUUCACCCGGAAAGAAGCCGGCAAAGGCCACGUGAAAAUAUUGGGUGCCAUCAUGAUCAGUCUCUGUCCAGGGUGGGGGGCCUAUUUACAAUAAUGAAAUAUAUAAUAAUGUCUAGACAAACAGAUCCUUAUAGCAUUUAUCUAGCUAGGGUUCAUCAUCAUUUAAUGGCUGGCUGUGUAGGCCAACUCGUUGAUGUUAAUUGGGAUAGUUGAUGUGUCGUCGGUUGUCUGCGUCCAGAAUGCUGAAACUAGUUAUAAACAUGGGCGGGCGGAACUAGUACCAAAACUUUCUCCUCUUUUCCCUUUUUCUUAAUUAGACAGAGAGAGUGACGACUAUUGGUAAAAUCGGGUUUGUCGGAAAGAUCGUGUACGGCCCAUUCCGGCCACCGGUAUAAAUACGUGUGUGUACCGUUGAUUUUGUACCGCGAUGGGAUUUGAAGUCGGAGGAGGAAGAAUGAAGGCGAGAAGGAGGGGAAUGGGGAGUAAGGAGAGAGGACUUUGCUAAGUAAUUGCACCGUGAAUAAUUAACUCAUCAUAGAAUGUUAAAUUAAGGUAAUUAUAUAGAACAGGUUUUUAUACCAAACAUAAUGCAGUUUGGUUUUGUAAAUUAUGACGUCAUGUGAUAUUAUGAUUACUAAACAUUCAAUUGAUUUUAGCCACGUAACGUGGUUUUGACUUGUGCUAUAUUUCCAAAUUAUGAUUAAAUGUUGGAAGUUAAAAUUGGCGCGUCAGGUUAUUCAAAUAAAAUUUGUUCCAUAGACGUGAUGUGACCUAACGUGAGUGAAUCAAAAUUAGACUAAUUAAAGACCAAUGUCAGAAAUUCAAUGGCAUGUUUCUGUUUCAUAAAUGUUAUCAUUCAAUUUCAGAAAAUAAAGUAUAAAAUACAUUUUAUCAUAGCUCCAAAUUAAUACAUCAUUAUCACUAAAUUUUAAUUUGCAAUCACACUAACCACCGAACUAAGUUAUGUUCAUCAAGUACUACCAAAUUAUAGUUUCUUUCCUAAAUCACCAUUUCUUUAUUUUUUCAAAUGAAAUGCCGACAUGGCUCAACAUAACCAACAUUUAGGAGAUGAGUAAGCUAUCAAUCCAUCGUUUCGAUCCCUAACUUGCUAAUCCCUAAAAAUAAAGGUUUUGGGGACUUUUUUUCUAGUGUUGGGUUUGGGUUUUGGGAAAAAGACAUGUGAUGGUGGUUGGCCUGAAGUGGUGUUAGUUCAGUUUUGGAUAGCUUCCGUGCUGCUUUCAAUAUGUCUUGUUUGGUUAGGCAGAGAUCCAUGAUAGCAAUAUUUCCCUCUUACAGAAAACAGACAAACAAAACCAAUAGGUUUCAUUUUGAUACCAAAGAUAAUAAACAAGGAAGAAGAUAGAUAACUUGUUUUCUUGUAUGAAACUAAUAAUCCAGUUCUGGGUCAAAUAACUGAAAUUUCAUGAGAAAGUGACAAAGAAGAAACGAUGAAAUUGGGCAAAGCAAAUCUCUCUCUGACAGUAUAACAACAAACAUCAAAACAAAAUGUCCAAACAUCAUGGUAUAUGAAACACCAUAUAAUCAUGUGUUAAUUGUGAUUGUAAUUAGAUGUCAAUUUCCAUUUGAAUGUUAAUUUACUACUAUUCAAGCAUUCAAGCAUUCAGAACACUAUAAAGCUAGGCCACAAGAUGAUAACAUAUAACAAUCUAUAACAAUUAAUAGGGAUAGGGGUAUCAAGAUAAAAAAAAAAAGUGUUGAUGAUUAAGACUAUUGUGACAUCGUAUACCAACUAGUCUAAUUCUUGACUAUUGACGAACUGAUGACAUACUUGUUCGAUUGAAUGAGUUAGAUUUUUGAGCUCUCCAAUUAUACCUCUCUCAAAAUUUCAACAUAGACUUUUAUUGGAGGGGGGAUCAAUUUCCAUAUCACUUUUGAGAUGGUGUCUUUGUUAUCUAACUAUAGAAGAUUAGGUCAAGAAUUCAUGGUCUAAGUUGUGUGUAUUGUGGAAGGACUUGUUAGAAUAGAGACUGUAACGCAUUUAUAAUAACUUGGAAGAACAAGUUAACAUUUUCCAGACACAUUAAGCUGUCAAGGCACCGAAUUUACAGUCCUUCACACACUUGGUCAUUAGUCCUGACCAAGUUUACUAACUGACGCGCCAGCCAAAAACCAAAACCAGCUAGCAUCAUGAUUAGCAGGCCUUUCCCUUGUUUACUUUCAACUGGAUGCUGAACCAAUUCCUUUUCGACCGAUCUUUCGUCGAAGAUUUCUUAUCUUUUGCUUCUCCUCCAUCUUCACGAUGGGUCUCCUUGAAGGAGCCCCUCUUCCGACUUCUGCUCGCACUCCGCUUCAUCGGUGGUGCAACUGUGUAGGCUGUGUGGAUUUCGUUCCUUUGCUUUAAGAGCUCGUCGAUCUGCAAUGCUGAAGAACGUAGGUUUAGAAAGCUUGAUAUGGAUGUAAAAUGUUUAGUAAUGUGAUAGCGUAUUAGAAAAAUGUUCAGAAGUCGAGCCUCUUGCAUCUCCUGGGCGUAUCGACUUGUCAUUUCUGUGAACUGCACCAAAACCUGUCAAAGGUUGGAGAUAUAGUUGGUAAAAGUUGGUCUAAUAUGGCAAUGAACAAUAAUACACAGGGGGGAUUAGUGUAGACCUCUUUGUAUUCGCUCUCGAAUUUCCGUAUUUCUACUCUUUUUUCGAGGAUUUCAGCUUCUACAGCUCUUAGAUUAUCCUUCUCUUCUGCAAAAGGUUUGGCACAAACGGCUUCUAUUGUAUAGCUUACACUUUUGAAAAAAUUAUCGCCUGCAACAAGUGAGCCAUAGUGCAAGAAGUUAGCCUAAUUAUGCAUCAAAAUCAGUAUUACAUGAAGACUGCAACAGGCAACAGCAUCGGCAUCCUACGCAGGGCAGUUCUAGAACUAACCAUAGACAGCAAACACGUGUGUUCCGGCCUUCAAUUCGUUUAUUUCGCAUGGUUGAAAGCCAUCCAGCCUUUUAAAGAAGGCAGCAUCAUCAUCCUUGGCCGCAGCAAGCUUCAACAAUCAAAAGACCAAAUCGAGCAAGGAAACUUGAGCAAGUGUAGAUUGAAUACAGAAAAGGUCAAUGCAAUCUCUUUCUUCACAAAAUUAGUUUACCGAGUUCACUUUUUUAUCCAACCGAUAAGUAGGAAAGCCAAGGAAAUACAUUCCGGCAGACGUAACUUUUCCAGUUCUGGUGCUUUCCUCCUGCAUUUAAAACACAACCACAGGGUUAUUAGAAACUUUACAGAAUAAACCUCAAACGUUCUUACAAAUUUGUGUAGAACUGUAACUUGUUAUCAUCACCAAGAAACAUUAGUGAAGAGCCACAAGAAUAAAAUGAUCUAUACCUGAAGAGCAAGGUUCAAUCCACAGCUUUCUUCCUGAUCGAAGAACAAUAACUGCACAAAGGCAUUUAAAUAGUCAAACGAUCAUCUUAACUUGCAGGCUGGCCAUUUCAUGAAAUUUCAGUACACGGAUUCAACACUGGAUGAUGAUUACGAACCUUGAACUUGCUUUUGUCAGUUGAUUGCACUCGGCAAACAAGACCGGCUUUUGCUUCUUGCUCUGAGAUUGUGACAGAAUAGAAGUGAGCACAUUGCUUCUCAACCUGCUUAAAAGUGCAUCCCCUAUAAGCACCAACCAUAUUGGUAGAACUAAAACAUGAACCAGGACAUAUACCGCACCUUCCGGGAUAUUGGAUCCCCUAGUUCAAGUGGGCAAAUGGAAACUGCACCGUUAAGUGCUUCUUCCAAAAUACUGACUGAUACAGUAGUCUUAAUCGGCACACCAAGUUUACUAUAAGAUGUCACACAAACACACAUGAAUAGAGAUGCUCGACAGCAAGCAUUUACAAGUUAUACAAAUGAAAAUUAACAACAGGAUUAACUUCAAUUUCGAAAACUUUACCUAAAAAGUGCUGCAAACAUAGUGUUCACGGUUCCUAAACUUGAGAGGUCCAGCUCCAGAUCCUGAUUCUCUGCCUCAACAGCCUGAAUCAAUACAAGGGAGCAAGGUAUAAUAACAGAGAAAGAAAACUUUCAAGCUACAGAAUACUCCCGAUCAUUAAAGAUCAGAAAAUUUCUAAAACAGAUUUCAAAAGCAGAAUGAUUCCUUCCUCAAAAUGAUUAUCACUACCAACUUACAUCAAAGCCAGCAUGGUCAAACUGGUGUCUUUUCUCUGGAUCAGACAAAAUGUUAUAGGAGAAUGUAGCUUCUUUGAACAUAUCAGCAGCUUCCGGAUCAUUUGCAGUUUUGUCAGGAUGGUACCUGAGAUACUAUACCAUUAACUUCCCACUAACUAGAUGAAGUAUAUUCAAAUUAAAGGCGAUCAAAUGUAAGAAGAAAUAAGACAAGUGCAAAUCUAAAUUGCUAAAGCUUCACCAUUGAUUGUGGAAAGGGAAUUUAAAUGUUCAAGUACAAGCACUAUCAAAGCAAAAUUCAUCAAAAAUUCUUUCAGAAGCAGGGAAUAUGCCUUUGAAAAGGUGACAAAUUUGAAAAAAAAAACACGAAGGACGGGAAGCGUACUUGAGUGCCAAUUUACGGUACGCGCUCUUGAUUUCCUGGUCGGAGGAGAUCCUCGACACGCCGAGGACGUCAUAAGGGUCCCGGCGGAUCCCGGAAACCUCCUUCUCCGACUUCGAUCGGUGGCCGGGCAUUGUCAAAUCGAGGAGGGGAAAGAAAACUUCCGACUGGAAUUCAAAUUCCCCAAUGACAACGAGUGAAGAAAGAAGGCAAACGAACCCUAAUUAACAGCUAGGAUCUUCUCUAAUAGGUGAAAGAGCGGAAAUAAGCGAAAACCCUAGAGAAGGAAUUGUGUGGGAGGGAAAGGCUCCGCCAUGAGACCUUCCUCCGCCUGAGCUGGAGCUUACCGGAACAGGACAAACUGAAAGCAAAUUCGGUGUAAACUAAUUAAGUAAGAAAUUAUAUAAAUAUUUACGUUAAAAAUGGGAAUAAAGCGACAGAGUGGCAUAAUUUGUUUAUUAAUUAAUUGUUAAUCAUUUGAAAAAGCUCAUCAAUUGGUUCUUUACUUAUUUGACCAUCAUUUUCAUCUUGAGUCAAGUCGUUUGUAGGUCUUCUCACCUUUAAAAAGUUCGAUUAUUAUUUGGUUUAAUGUUAAAUAAUUCAAAUUUAAGUUAAAAUAACAUAAUAAAUUCGUGAGAUGGCUCAAAUUCGAAUAUAUGACUCAUUAACAAAUUUAAUAAUAGAAUUAUUGUUUUGUUUCGAAUACCUUAUAAUAUCAUAGACAACUUAUAAUUAUACCAUGGGUAAAUAACUAAAUGUCUUAUAAAAAAAUUUAUUUUUGAACUUCAUCUAUCAAAUAUUUUUUUAGGAUACAAAUUUUAAUUUGAUCUUAAAUUGGACCAACUUAUUCGAAAUUAGUGAGUAGAGUUUGAAUUUAACUUCGACAGGUGAAAUUUGAAUUGAGUCUAAAAUGUGUAUUAAAAAUGCGUAAAGGAACAAGUGUUGUAUUUUUUAAAAUACAAAUUUAAGAGAGAAAUGAAUAAAUCUUUACAGAUUUUCUCGGGCCUAAUCAUGGUUAGCAAUUAAUCCGGAAAAGCCCAACGGACGGGGCCCUACUAUAUAUACUCACAAACUCAAACUUUUCUUCACAAAUUUUCCGAUCACGAGACGGCGGCGGCAUACGUUUUCCCGCCCCUGCCGGUGAGAAAAUGUUGAAAGUAGACGACACAAAGACUUGCAUUUUGUGGGCAUUACCUUCCCUCUCCACUCACCUUAUCUAUCGAAUCCCCAUACGCCAUUGCUACUUCGUUCAACCCGAGGUAUCUAUCUAAUCCCAAUUAGGGCAUCGCUGUUUAAACAGUUUUCAAUUUGGAUGUUUGAGACCAUAAACCCUAAUUAUAUUAUAUUGUCUUGUUGUUAUCUUGAUCGAUUGAUCCCCAAUGGUUUGCAAGGAAGGAGAGAUGAGCAAAUUCCAGGAGUUGGAGGAAGGUGAUCUGUUACAAAUUCUCUCGGCUACCAGUCAAAACAUGAAAACUUCAGCUAGCAUUGGGGAUGGAAUUCCUUCGAUACUCUAAAGAGGGAGGGUAUGGAAUUCCUUCGAUACACGGGGACGCAAUGGUUCUGUAACUCGGUCCUUACUGUGAUGCAUCACAAAUCCGGUACUUGGAACCCCCAAUGCGCUUCGGCCCAAACGACCGGCCAGGCUCCUAUCAGAAUUUCCCAAUGCAGAUCAUUUCCAGGACCCUGCAAAGGUGUAUAUUUACUCGGGUAUCCCACUAAGCCAAGUCUCGAAUAUUCGCUGUCGAAUCCUGCUACAGCCUCUCUUAGGGAACUUCCCGAACCCGGAACUAACAACUAUGCUCAGAGUUAUGGGUUUGGGAUCGAUACAGUUUUGGACGACUUCAGAGUCGUUCUGAUACUACACUCUCGCCUGCUCGGAAAUUACCCUCGUCGGUCAAGAUUAUGCAGAGGUGGGCGUUCUUCAUCAGAAUCCCCUUCGAGAGUGAUGGUGCCGACACAUGGAAGGAGUUGGACGAGCUUAGGCAUGAUUUCGAGACAGUCGGAUUCACUGAUACCACCUGUACAUGAACGGAUUCUUUUUCUGGUUAUGUGUUUCUCCUGUUGCUGUGCUGGCGUUCGACAUGGGGAAGGACGUUUUCUGGUUGAUAAACGACCCUGCCGAUGCAUCUGACGAAGCGAGACAUUAUUUUUUCGGUAUGCGCUAUAAUUCAUAUGGUUAUCCCAAUGUUAUAGCUGUAGAAUCAAAGUUGGUUCAUCCAAUGCAAAACCCGAAAGAAUCUUAAUGGGUCGGACCCGGCAAAACCAAGCUGCAGGAUUCAUUCAUUUCUGGAAGGCAAGAAUCAAAAUCAACAUUCAACUGCGAAACAAAACUAGGAGACGCUCACUUCUUUAGGAACAUCUUUCCAUUUGAUUCACUUCUCCCUUCCGAUACAAACAAAACGCUGUAACGAACCAAAUAGUAACAGAAAUUUGACUUACCGAUUCGCUAGGAAUAACAACAUACAACGACGACCGAAGUCAAACCAUACAGUCUCUAAAGUAGACUCCCUCUGCCUCUGCUUUAUAAAGAGAGAAGCCUCUUCAGUAAUGUUGCAGCAUACCUUAGCUUCCUAGCGCAUCUUAUCGUCAGAGUUGUCUUUUCGAACGAGGCAAGACGGAAAGAAGAAUCUUUUUCCUCGGCCCCUGCCAUUGAUAUGAAUACAACUUCGUUAUGGGAGAACUCAACUGUGUUGUGGAAGAACUCCCCGACAAACAACAUACACCUACUGAGAAUUUUACGAGUUUAUAGCAUACAGAGCAUGUUGAAUUGAAGUGGACUUAUAGCUACAACGAAAUGGAAUCAUCAAAAGCACAAAAUCUUAUGCAAACCGUGCAGUUGGCUAGACAAUAGUUUUGAAGUGAUUCUUUUACAUAACUUCAGACUCGACAUUCUUCUUGUUUUCCGGUAAACCAGAGGUGAGACUUGAAAGACCGUAGUGUAAUAACUUGACAUAACAGGGAAAGAAAAGAAAAACUUACCAUGGGUAUACCGAGUUCUUUCAGGUCACUUUCACCCAUCUGCUUCAGUACGGUCAUAUCCACCUGGGAGAGUAAAAAAACGGAUGGUUUUAGAUACCAUGUUAACUCAAAUUAGCUUUUUGCACAAAUAAGAUCACAUGCUAGCACAAUCAGAGCCCAUGAAAUGUCUUUUGAAACCGACUCCCUGUUAGAAAUUAAUAAAUUGCUGGUCUAGGGUUUGUCUAAUGGUAAUCUGAUGAUGAACACACUACACAAACUGGGUUCAUCUUCAUGAAAUGCCCUCAGUUACAAAUUCAAUAGAAGUUCCGAAUCACUUCAGUAACCACAGUUUCGAUGGCACCAUACCAAUGGAAUGAACGAAAUACAAACAGUUCAAGUAAUAUAGUCAUGGAUCUUAGGUGCUGCUAAAUGGAAGGCACAUGAAAUCUUGUGCUGGUCAAUUCUGUACAUAGCUGGCAUGGCUACAAUAAGUAAAAACAGAAUGCAUGGGUGGAGUGAAUAAUGCGUCUAUAUACUAGAAGGAAUCAUAGAGAGAGUAUUUGACUUACUUCCUCGGCUUUGAAAAGAACGAUAUAUUUUCCCAAUCCCAGAGAAUGCAGUAAGCCUUCAAUAGUCUGAUGUUCUUCCUCCUACACAUUGCGAGAAGUAAAUAAGGAAGCGAGCAUAUCCAACAGAUAAACAGGGAAAAUACCAAAACCAGAUCAUAAAAUCACCAGUGUCAGUUAUAGGUACAACUUAAAUACUUAAUGAACAGUUAGAUGCCGGCUUUCUUUAACUUUUUUCUUCUUCUUGUUACUCUUAUUGUUAAGUUUUCAUAUAUUCUUGUAGUACUGACAAUAGGAGGCUCAAAGUUAGCAAUAAAACAAAAGAAGGAUGCCAAUUCGUCGAUUGUCGAGCUAAGAUAUCCAUCAUACCUAUUCAACAAGGACCUGGAACAUGACAUUUCCUGGCUCAAAAGACUUAGGUGCACAAGUAAAGUGAAAAAAGGAAGAGACUCAUACCGCAUAUGUCUGUUUCUGCAAACCACUACUAGGUGGAGGAACUGGGCCUGGUAUCGGGGCUGCACUAUUUGCAGAAACAGUAGCCAAGCCUGGUUUUGUCAUGAACUGUGCAGAACUACUCCCAGGCCUUGGAGCAUCACGGACAUCUCUUGGUAUGUAUGGAACUGAUCUAAGAUCAUCAUAGGGUCUGUUUAGUGACCUUGGCUGUACUUCAUCCAUACGCCUUGGCGGAGAAUACCCCCUAGAGCUACUCAUGCCUCUCUCUGGGGCCAUCGAAGAAGUUAUAAUCCUACCAGGAGAUCUCCGUCUUAUAUGGUCCAAAGUCCAAGGGGAAUACGAACUUCUCGAUGAUUCCAUCUGAGAUACUUCACUUGAGCUUCUUACAGGAGGGAUUCGGCCCAAAAGACUAGUCUCUCUGGGAUCUACCACGCUCCCCCGCAUACCAAGAGCACUAGGAGGAUGGCUGGGGGGUCGUGUCUUCCUUGAGAUCUUAUCACGUAGAUCCCUCGGGUCAUCAUCGCUGUGAGUUCUUCUACCCACGUUCUUUUGCAGGAGUUUCAAUCGAAGAUCAUCCUUACCAAUACGAGCAUCUUUAGUUAUUCAAAUUGCACCAGGUCAGUCAACCAGAACUAUUCCAAGAGAAAGAAAACAAUACUGCAAGAACAGUAGGAAAUAAAAUCAUUACCCCUAAUGCCAGAAGCAUUUGAAGCAGACAAGUAACUAUCACCUCUUUGCCUGAAAGAUGGGCAAGUAACAUCAUAACUAAAAAUUCACGUCUCCCGCAUUAUAUUCACCAGUAAUGUUGUGCAGCUCAGUAUUUAACCAUAUGAAAACCAACAACAGAACGGACAGAAUAAGCAAGAGCGAGCAGUAGAUUCUAAACAGCACGAAGUUAUUAGAAGAAAAGCCAUCAUCAAAAUUCAAAGAAGUAGCCAAACACACCGUUUGCCGCGAGACACUGAACUCUCUGCGUCACCACCCAGCCUAUCUCUCACGGAGCGCUUCCCACCAGAACCUAACAGAGAAUCUGAGUAUCCAACGUCCGAUACUGCUCGUCUCACAACCUAGCAAGCCAGCGUCUCCGAUUUCAGCAACCAACUGAUGACCAUCAGCGCAAAUAAAAAGGAAGAUGGAAAUACCUGACCACCACCGCCAAGGGUAAUGGUAACGCGACCAUUGGAAGCUUCCGCCAUAGCAAGUCCCCUCCAAGAAAGACCUAGCAAAACCAGCUCGUCAAUCAGGAACCUAGCGUCAUCCUUCUGGCACUCGGCGCAAACACAAAGGUGAAGGAUCAAUUCUCCGGAUGGAUAUAUCAAGAGAAAACCCUAACCUCGAUUUCUCAAAUCAGAAGUUAGACUUGCGAAAUUCAGCGAUUACGGAUAUGAUGUCUUCCCCCUUUGAUGAAUGAGACUGAGGAGCUUUCGUCAAAUUAUUGAAGGAAUCUGUAAAAGAGAAUAGAUCUAUUGGCAGAGAUGGAGAUAUUACAGUGCUCCGAGAUCUACGGUGGUUUCCGUCCCGAAUUCGUAAGCUUCAAUGGGAGGCGUCUGAUUGGGCGACUGAUUUUCGAAAGUCGAUUCAAAAUUAUUCGUUAUUUUUCCCGGUGGGUUUUGUUUUGGGCUUGUUGGGGUUCUACUUUGGGCUUGGAUUAGAAUUACAGGAAGUGAAUAUGCUAGAGCUCCAAUGAAAUAUAGUUUUAUUGUUCGUUAUUCGAAAGUAUCGAGUUUAAAUAUUUAACACACUUUAUGAAUGAAUAUUAAUAUUUUUUUUUUUAUAUUUUAUACUGAAUGAGGGUUUUGUUCAAAAAUAUAAAAAUAAUAGGCAAGCUAAGAAUGAUCGUCUAUUGCUAUAGACCAUCUGAAGGCAAUUAAGGUCGUUAAUCACGCUCUGAUCAAGUGACUGUCAUUCAUCCAACAGACUUGAGUUAUGGUCUCCUUAGUGCUAAAGGACACAGAGCUACAAUCCUAUAGAACAUAUCCUGUUCAAGUAAGAUCGUAUAAACACUUUUUUAUGAUCAUGUUUUAUCUAACAUGUCGGGCAAAAUAAAGUGUGAUUUUUCUCUCUCAAUUAAUUUCGAAUAAUAAUUAGGACCUAAUACUUUCUUAACGAAUUAAAAUAAAGUCUUAAAGAAAAAUAUGCUAAGAGAGAAUGUAAAACUUAGCUGCUGCUGAAGCUCUUGCCGUUGUCGCUUUCUUGCCAUCCAGCGAAUUCAUUUUCCUAUCUCGUUGUCUUGAUUUUUCUCUUAUAUAAGAGUUGUCUUACUUUUUUGAUUGAAAGUUAUUUUCGCUACCUUUCAAAUCAUUAUCCCACCACAAAUCGAUGACCGGCAACGCUAAUAUCACCGCCGCCAUCGUCCCCGGAGCUGUAGCUCUCAAUGUUACCUUCUAUCUGCCUGUCACCAUCGCCACAUGAGUCGCUACUCUGUCGUUGGAGGAGAAGUCUAAGCCGGAAUUGUCGCUCGCUGACCUUAUCAUCGUCCCGGUGGUAUGGAAGUCAACUUAAAAAACAAAACACAACAAGUAACAUGCUAUGACGAAUCACUGAUUUGGAGGUGAUUCGACCGUAUUGAAUGGAAUGAUUGAAACUUAAAAAGAAAUAAAGUCUUAAAAAUUAAAUAAUAUUGUUACUUUCUCUUCAAUUAUGGGUAAUUUCUAUAAAGAAAGCAACGCUAAUCCAACGGCCAUUAAUAAAUCCAUCUCCCAUCUCUUCACACCCACCACGUAGGCCCCACCACUAGUCUCCCUUGCCUCAACCGACGGCGACAAUGUACCGUUCCAAUUCAAGUCGCCGGCGUACAGCUGCCGCAGGCCGUCGAUAUCAUCCUGCGCAAGCUCAACUUUUCUAGUCAUCGAAGUAAUGGUUGGGUACAUAAUCGCCUCCGGAUCCGACGAGUGACCCAACCCCAACAGAUGCCCGAUCUCGUGCACCGCCACCGUCUCCAGAUCCACCGCCGUCGGCAACCCGUCCGCCAAACCUGACACCACCCAGUCCUCAUCCCCGUCGAGGUGGAGCCGCCCGUUCGGCGGCGAGAACGCGUGCGCCAGAGUCCCGAAAACCCCGUCGAACGGAUCCCCAUCUCCGUGGGCCCCACGCAGAAACCCGACCCGGAUGUCCGCCACGAAAUAGUCUUUCGUUUCUUUAAACGUCAGCAUCCCCGCCGCCGCUUCCGACCACCGUCCGAAAGCUGCCGCAAACACGCCCUUCACCUCCUUGCUCAGCUUAUUUUCCGGAAAGAACGCGUAGCUCAGAUUCCGGCGAUCCCCCGGCCACCGCGGCCUCCCCGGGAAAAACGAGAAACGUUUCGUCGUUGAAUUACCAUUCCACGACGGUGGUCUCAUGGUCGUCGAUCCGUUGACUACAUCGGCGUCUCCGCAUCUAGGAAGCACGAUCUGUCGAAUCGUCCGCUGGUCGAGCUUCCCCGUGACGUUGAGAUUGAAGUUCCUCUGGUAAGUCCUGACCGCCAAUUCGAGCGAAUCAUCGAAAGAAUCGGUGAAGUUAACGGCAGAAUCUGGGACUUGGAGGUAGCCAAAGUGGCGGAAGUAUUGCUUUAGCUUUGAAAGGCCCGGGAUAAUCUCGCCGGCGUGGCUGCCGGAUAAGUUCCGGAAGGAAUCCCAAUCGGAGGUGGUGAAAUUGGGUGGUUUGAGUUGGAAAUCAGAUCGGAUUGAGUUUGUGUUCGAGAGGAACCUAGCGGAAAUUUGUGGAGGAAAGGAACAGAAGAAGAAUGAAAGAAAUGUAAUGGACAAGAUCAAUUUGCACCGGAGUUUCAUUGCUCUGCUGCUCUGUACUGUAACUCAGCUGAAAGAAGAGUAGAAGAAAGGUCGGCGGAUAUGUAUAAAUUCACUUUACUCCACCUAGUCGGGUUUUCUAGCAUUUUCGUCACUAAAAGUAUAUUAUCUUAACAUUUACAAUUUGGUUGGAAUGGAUUGAUUAAAAUCCAUUAGGCUGUCUUCAACCCAAGGGCUAUAAUUUUAAAAUAGCUUUUGAAAUUUAGAUUAUUUUUUUCAAUUCAUACUUAAAAGGCAAAAUAAAAGGAUAAAAAGCAAUAAUAGCAACGGGUAAAAAUAAGGGGUUUUAGCCUUCUCAAAAUAAAAUUAAAUGAACCCGCCAAAUAAGAGUUAAUGGAGGAAAGAGAGUGCAAUUUAUUAUUAUUUUAUAAGAUUAUGUGUAUUUAAACUAUUAUUNNNNNNNNNNNNNNNNNNNNNNNNNNNNNNNNNNNNNNNNNNNNNNNNNNNNNNNNNNNNNNNNNNNNNNNNNNNNNNNNNNNNNNNNNNNNNNNNNNNNNNNNNNNNNNNNNNNNNNNNNNNNNNNNNNNNNNNNNNNNNNNNNNNNNNNNNNNNNNNNNNNNNNNNNNNNNNNNNNNNNNNNNNNNNNNNNNNNNNNNNNNNNNNNNNNNNNNNNNNNNNNNNNNNNNNNNNNNNNNNNNNNNNNNNNNNNNNNNNNNNNNNNNNNNNNNNNNNNNNNNNNNNNNNNNNNNNNNNNNNNNNNNNNNNNNNNNNNNNNNNNNNNNNNNNNNNNNNNNNNNNNNNNNNNNNNNNNNNNNNNNNNNNNNNNNNNNNNNNNNNNNNNNNCGGCUAGAGUUGAGUGAAGUUUAAUUUGAUUCAAAUUUAGACCAUGGAAUUCAUAUGAUUAUGUUUUUUAAAAAAAUUUAUAUAUUAUAUCUUUAAUUAGAUUGUUCACAUAUAUGUUUCGAUAAAAUCAGAUAAUUCUUGUUAUAUAUAUAGGAUACCCUUUAGUAAAUUAAAUUAACCAUUAAUGUUUUCUUAACUAAGAUGCUUACCACCUAUGAUGCAAAAUUGCAUAGGAUUUCACAGAUGCAAUUUAACCACUAAAUUCAAUAAUUAUAUUAAAAACGUCAUUUAAUUAUCAAUAAUUAUAUUAACACCGUCAUUUAAUUCUCAAUUUUGUAACUCCAAUUUUGAGUUAACAACAACACAUAAAAAUAAACAACGGCAAUAAACAGCCAUAAAAGUCAAUAACGUGGAAAAAGUCAGCAUUUCAAUCCUAUAUAUAUAAACACACAGUUACCAGUUUUCUUCCAUCUUACAAAAAAACAAACAACAAUGGCGAACAACAAGCCUAGCAACAAUUCUCCACAGAAGUUGCCAAUCAAGAAGAUACUCAACAGAAGCCACCUCCAAGUGACGUUCUCCAAGCGACGCGCGGGACUUUUCAAGAAGGCGAGUGAGCUAUGCACCCUCUGCGGAGUUGAGAUCGCCGUCAUUGUUUUCUCCCCCGCCGGCAAGACCUACUCAUUCGGACAUUCCGACGUCGUUUCCAUCGUCAGGAAAUUCUUAACCACCGCCGCCAGUCAUCCUCCAAGUGUUGAAGCUCCCAGCCAAAUUACCCCCGAGGCGCGUGAGUUGAAUGCUGAGUUGAAUGCUGAGUUGACGCUAGUUCUUAGUGAGCUGGAAGUUGAGCGGAAGCAGGGGGAGCUUCUGGACCGGAUGGUGAAAGCCCAAGAAGCAGAGUAUGGGCUGUCGAUUGCCGAUCUUGGGCUGGAUGGGCUGGCCCAGUUGAGGAAUGCAUUGGAGGAGCUACAACUCAAUGUAGAGAAUCAGAAAAUUUCUGUGGGUUAUGAAUAUGGCAAUUUCUCUGAGAACUGGAGUUUCUAAGAGCUUUAAUUUUGCUCCUGCAUGAUUUUUUCAUAGAGAAAGAAAAAUAAAUGUGUGUUCUUGGUUAUCUUAGUACAAAAUAAGUGUAGCAUUAUUACCAGGGCCACAUCUCCAAAUAUACAAUCGGCGAGAGCUCUAAUGAAUGCUAGACAAUUUAAUUUGAUGAUUGUUUGAAGACCGUAAUCUUAUACAAAUUCCAACACUUUAAAAAAGAGCCAUAACUUCCGUCAUAAUAGGGGAUGAACAAAGAAAUUGACCGAAAGAAUCAUCGUAUUAAUGUUAUAUUAUGUAGUACUGCGCGCGACUCUUUCAUAUUUUCCAAUGGUAUUAACGCAGUAAACAAUCAAAAAAACAUGGUCACUAUUCCCAAGAAUGAGAACCAAAAUCCGGCAAAAUGAAUUGAUGAAUGAUUCCCCCUUCUAAAACAAGACAUUGGUCGGUCUCCUCGGUUUAGCAGCCGGAUUUGGUCUGACCGGUUCUCAAAUGAGGAGUUUUGCUGUAACCAAAUCACCCAACUAAUAGAUUCUAAAUACCAACAUCCAUCGAUACAGUUAAUGUACAGCUAGCCCACUUCCUUAUAAAACCCAAACAACAAAUUGUAAGCAAACAAUUACAAGUCUAUUUGAUUAAAUGGGGGGAUCCAAGGGCUCGUACGAGAACACGUGGGCAGAUCAGUGGGACGACAAGAACCAAGGCAACUACACCGCCGGCCGGGUCGGCCGGGGGCGGGGGGGGGGGCGGGGAGGGGAGGGAGGUGCGAGUGAGGGCUUAGCAAGACAAAGGAAGUGGCUUCGACGGGGAUGAAGAAGGUUAAAGCUGGAGCUUCUAUUGGGUUCGUUUGGAUGAAAGAUAAGUACCAGAAAACCACCAGCAAGAAAACCUGACUUUUUAUUAAUCUUUUGCUGCUUUGUUAAUUUUUGUUUUUCCUGUGAUUAGCUAGGUUUGUGUUAUUUGUUUUAUUAUUUUCUCUGUUCUAAUUGAUGGGAAAGACUUUGAUCGGUGAAAACUCAUUUCUACUUUGGACGGAUGAUGUUGGUUGAAAGAUGGUGUUAGAUGUAGCUUGGUCGAAUUUUGAAAUGAUGAAUCGAUUUCUUCAUUGCGAACGUUCUUACGAAACGGUAAACGGCCGGUUACUAAUUGUACUUUAUUGCCAUGGAUAAUACAUUAUUCCGACCUAUUGAUUAUUCUAA